RNAcentral lists this unclassified non-coding RNA (169 nucleotides) under uncultured fungus. RNAcentral's name for it is "sequence contains ITS2". Lineage: Eukaryota; Fungi. The record is from RNAcentral.
UCCUCUCUCAAACCCCCGGGUUUGGUGUUGGACCGCGUUGGUCGUCCGCGACCAACUGGUCUCAAAGACAAUGACGGCGUCCCAGGGACCCUCUUCGCACUGAGCUUUCCGGAGCACGCGCAAGAGUUUCAAGGGCCCAGGGACCCGGUCGCCUCUAAAACUUUUUUCA